RNAcentral lists this transfer RNA (71 nucleotides) under Ailuropoda melanoleuca (giant panda). It matches the Rfam family "tRNA". Rfam says of the family: Transfer RNA (tRNA) molecules are approximately 80 nucleotides in length. Their secondary structure includes four short double-helical elements and three loops (D, anti-codon, and T loops). Further hydrogen bonds mediate the characteristic L-shaped molecular structure. tRNAs have two regions of fundamental functional importance: the anti-codon, which is responsible for specific mRNA codon recognition, and the 3' end, to which the tRNAs corresponding amino acid is attached (by aminoacyl-tRNA synthetases). tRNAs cope with the degeneracy of the genetic code in two manners: having more than one tRNA (with a specific anti-codon) for a particular amino acid; and 'wobble' base-pairing, i.e. permitting non-standard base-pairing at the 3rd anti-codon position. The record is from Rfam by way of RNAcentral. Lineage: Eukaryota; Metazoa; Chordata; Mammalia; Carnivora; Ursidae.
CCGGCUGGCUCAGUUGGUGGAGCACAUGACUCUUGAUCUUGGGGUCGUGAGUUCGAACCCCACGAACUGGG